AUACAUAGGGAGCGAGCAUUAUCCGGAAUUAUUGGGUGUAAAGGGUGCGUAGAUGGGUUGACAAGUUAGUUGUGAAAUCCCUUGGCUUAACUGAGGAAUUGCAACUAAAACUAUCAGUCUUGAGUACAGGAGAGGUAAGUGGAAUUCCUAGUGUAGCGGUGAAAUGCGUAGAUAUUAGGAGGAACACCAGUGGCGAAGGCGACUUACUGGACUGAAACUGACAUUGAAGCACGAAAGUGUGGGGAGCAAACAGGAUUAGAUACCCUGGUAGUCCACACUGUAAACGAUGGAUACUAGGUGUAGAGGGAUAAACAUCCAACUGUGCCGAAAGCAAACGCAAUAAGUAUCCCACCUGGGGAGUACGACCGCAAGGUUGAA
Molecule: ribosomal RNA, 378 nt
Filed under: uncultured bacterium
Lineage: Bacteria
Description: bacterial SSU rRNA
Rfam family: Bacterial small subunit ribosomal RNA
Source: RNAcentral